Molecule: ribosomal RNA, 494 nt
Filed under: uncultured bacterium
Lineage: Bacteria
Description: partial 16S ribosomal RNA
Rfam family: Bacterial small subunit ribosomal RNA
Source: RNAcentral
GACGAACGCUGGCGGCGUGCUUAACACAUGCAAGUCGAACGGAAAGGCCUGCUUUCCCUUGUGGAUUGCGGGUACUCGAGUGGCGAACGGGUGAGUAACACGUGAGUGAUCUGCCCCCAACUUGGGUAUAAGCCUGGGAAACUGGGUCUAAUUCCCGAUAGGACUGCAGGGUGGUGCCUGUGGUGGAAAACGAUUUUCUAGUGGUUGGGGAUGAGCUCGCGGCCUAUCAGCUUGUUGGUGGGGUAAUGGCCUACCAAGGCGGCGACGGGUAGCCGGCCUGAGAGGGUGGACGGCCACAUUGGGACUGAGAUACAGCCCAGACUCCUACGGGAGGCAGCAGUGGGGAAUAUUGCACAAUGGGCGGAAGCCUGAUGCAGCGACGCCGCGUGGGGGAUGACGGCCUUCGGGUUGUAAACUCCUUUCGACCGCGAGGAAGCCACCUGGUUGGAAGGGUGGUGACGGUAGUGGUAGAAGAAGCACCGGCUAACUACGUG